RNAcentral lists this long non-coding RNA (504 nucleotides) under Monodelphis domestica (gray short-tailed opossum). Its description in RNAcentral is "lncRNA (ENSMODG00000045186.1)". The record is from RNAcentral. Lineage: Eukaryota; Metazoa; Chordata; Mammalia; Didelphimorphia; Didelphidae.
CAUGAAGUGUCCUUGAUUGACCUCCUACUUCUUGUCUCCUAGAUUGAUUUUUAUUGUUUUUUCUUUCCCUCCCAUGACUUCCUCUAAUGAUGUGUCUUGGUUUCUCUCCAGGCUAAAGUCCAAGUGCACCUGGCCUAAUGGGUUGAAGCUCAAAGGUUGUGUAUUUCAGGGCAUCUGCAUUGUGCAGACUUUGGGGAAUAUUCAUGGUAGACUUAAAAAGGUGGUUGAGCUGUUCCUUAGCAGCAGGAUAUUUUGUGAAUGCCAUGGCUCAUUAUAUCAGGGAGGACCUGGAGGAAGUUGCAAGGAGAAUGAGUCAGAUGAAGUGACUUCAAUGUUUCUAGCCAUAGACCACAAGAAAAAAGAAUAUUCUCUAUUUUUAGGAAAUCACCUGAGUUGAUGGUAUCCAUUUGGGUAGAAAUUGCUAUGGAAGAAGCACAAGGUCAAAAAGAGGUAAAAUGGACUGCCUUGAGAAACUGUGGAUUUCCCUUCCUUCAAGACAAGUGA